UUCGCAAUGCCCGAAAGGGUGACGUAGCGACGCCGCGUGUGGGAAGAAGGCCUUCGGGUUGUAAACCACUGUCGGGAGUUAAGAAAUGCAAGGAUAUUAAUAGUGUCUUUGUUUGACUAAGGCUCCGGAGGAAGCCACGGCUAACUCUGUGCCAGCAGCCGCGGUAAUACAGAGGCGGCAAGCGUUGUUCGGAAUUAUUGGGCGUAAAGAGCUCGUAGGCGGCUAUGUAAGUCGGUUGUGAAAGCCUUCCGCUCAACGGAGGAACAGCAUCCCAUACUACAUGGCUUGAGUGCGGGAGGGGAGAGUGGAACUUCUGGUGGCGCGGUGAAAUGCGUAGAUAUCAGAAGGAACGCCGGCGGCGAAAGCGGCUCUCUGGCCCAUAACUGACGCUGAGUGUGCGAAAGCUAGGGGAGCAAACGGGAUUAGAUACCCCGGUAGUCCUAGCCGUAAACGAUGGGCACUAAGUAGAGGGGUUUU
RNAcentral lists this ribosomal RNA (477 nucleotides) under uncultured bacterium. RNAcentral's name for it is "bacterial SSU rRNA". It matches the Rfam family "Bacterial small subunit ribosomal RNA", at positions 365 to 832 of the family's 1533-position model. The record is from RNAcentral.